GGGGGUGUACUGGAUUCGACUACUGGUUGGAGUCGGGAUAAGCAUGUCGCAGGCUCGUCUGCGUUAAAACGGAACGCUAAAAUUAAAUGCAAAAAACAAUACAAUGAAAUCCAACAUGGGUUUCGCCCUCGCUGCAUAAUUUAGUCAGCGUGUCGCCCCGAGGUUUUCUGUUCCCUUGGCAAGCGGCAUCAGAAAAACAGACAACACCAGCCCAGUGUCCUGUAAGUUGGUUGUCAUUUAGGACUUAUCAAUCUGAGGCUCGCCCACGUGCCAAAGUGCGAAAAAUUCAAACGUGAGAUAAGCAUGUAGAAAGUCGCGGUGAAGGCUUUUAGGACCGGGGUUCAACUCCCCGCAUCUCCACCA
Molecule: transfer-messenger RNA, 363 nt
Filed under: Clostridia bacterium
Lineage: Bacteria; Bacillati; Bacillota; Clostridia
Rfam family: transfer-messenger RNA
About the family: Bacterial tmRNA, also known as 10Sa RNA or SsrA, is named for its dual tRNA and mRNA-like properties. Its role is to liberate the mRNA from a stalled ribosome. To accomplish this part of the tmRNA is used as a reading frame that ends in a translation stop signal.
Source: RNAcentral